Molecule: ribosomal RNA, 275 nt
Filed under: uncultured bacterium
Lineage: Bacteria
Description: partial 16S ribosomal RNA
Rfam family: Bacterial small subunit ribosomal RNA
Source: RNAcentral
GCGUGUGUGAAGAAGGUUUUCGGAUUGUAAAGCACUUUCGGCGGGGACGAUGAUGACGGUACCCGCAGAAGAAGCCCCGGCUAACUUCGUGCCAGCAGCCGCGGUAAUACGAAGGGGGCUAGCGUUGCUCGGAAUGACUGGGCGUAAAGGGCGCGUAGGCGGAUGUGACAGUCAGAUGUGAAAUUCCUGGGCUUAACCUGGGGGCUGCAUUUGAUACGUUGUAUCUGGAGUGAGGAAGAGGGUCGUGGAAUUCCCAGUGUAGAGGUGAAAUUCGU